Non-coding RNA from Misgurnus anguillicaudatus (oriental weatherfish), 469 nucleotides. The record is from RefSeq and is a predicted model, not a curated record. Lineage: Eukaryota; Metazoa; Chordata; Actinopteri; Cypriniformes; Cobitidae.
GGGAUGCCAACAUUGCAGGGAUGCCAACAUCGCAUCACUGGACAGCAUUACCUCAAGACUUCCAAGUGCAAUAAAUGGAUUUUAAACAUGAUUCCUCCCUGGGUAUGAGGCAACAGUGUUUCUCAUCAUGCCUACGGCUCUCGUGGAAGUUAUAAAAGUAUUUCAAAGGAUUUGGCUUAACAUGGAGGGUAUUUCAAUAAAAAUGAUUAAAUUGGGCCUGAAAACAAGAUCCAUGAGCCUGGCACCCACCUGUUCUUCCUUUAGACAGUCAGUAAAUCUCCAUCUUCUUUGAUUUAAGGAUGAUAAUCUAACACAGCAUUUAUUUGAUUGUCCUACAAUAAAUACCACCAGGAACAAAGGGGCAUCAAAUCUACUGAAAUAAGAGCAAUUACAUCCUUUAUUCUGCAUAAAUGAAAUGAGAAGCUUGUCAGAAGAAAAUGCAUAUACUAAUCAGAGCUUUAGUUAUUAU